AUUGAACGCUGGCGGCAUGCCUUACACAUGCAAGUCGAACGGCAGCACGGGAGCAAUCCUGGUGGCGAGUGGCGAACGGGUGAGUAAUAUAUCGGAACGUGCCCAGUCGUGGGGGAUAACGUAGCGAAAGCUACGCUAAUACCGCAUACGAUCUAUGGAUGAAAGCGGGGGAUCGCAAGACCUCGCGCGAUUGGAGCGGCCGAUAUCAGAUUAGGUAGUUGGUGAGGUAAAGGCUCGCCCAAGCCGACGAUCUGUAGCUGGUCUGAGA
RNAcentral lists this ribosomal RNA (268 nucleotides) under uncultured bacterium. Its description in RNAcentral is "partial 16S ribosomal RNA". It matches the Rfam family "Bacterial small subunit ribosomal RNA", at positions 30 to 297 of the family's 1533-position model. The record is from RNAcentral.